This 1356-nucleotide ribosomal RNA is filed under the name Microbacterium sp. RNAcentral describes it as "bacterial SSU rRNA". It matches the Rfam family "Bacterial small subunit ribosomal RNA", at positions 72 to 1440 of the family's 1533-position model. Lineage: Bacteria; Bacillati; Actinomycetota; Actinomycetes; Micrococcales; Microbacteriaceae. The record is from RNAcentral.
AGCCAAGCUUGCUUGGUGGAUCAGUGGCGAACGGGUGAGUAACACGUGAGCAACCUGCCCUGGACUCUGGGAUAAGCGCUGGAAACGGCGUCUAAUACUGGAUAUGAGCUCCUUCCGCAUGGUGGGGGUUGGAAAGAUUUUUCGGUCUGGGAUGGGCUCGCGGCCUAUCAGCUUGUUGGUGAGGUAAUGGCUCACCAAGGCGUCGACGGGUAGCCGGCCUGAGAGGGUGACCGGCCACACUGGGACUGAGACACGGCCCAGACUCCUACGGGAGGCAGCAGUGGGGAAUAUUGCACAAUGGGCGGAAGCCUGAUGCAGCAACGCCGCGUGAGGGAUGACGGCCUUCGGGUUGUAAACCUCUUUUAGCAGGGAAGAAGCGAAAGUGACGGUACCUGCAGAAAAAGCGCCGGCUAACUACGUGCCAGCAGCCGCGGUAAUACGUAGGGCGCAAGCGUUAUCCGGAAUUAUUGGGCGUAAAGAGCUCGUAGGCGGUUUGUCGCGUCUGCUGUGAAAUCCCGAGGCUCAACCUCGGGCCUGCAGUGGGUACGGGCAGACUAGAGUGCGGUAGGGGAGAUUGGAAUUCCUGGUGUAGCGGUGGAAUGCGCAGAUAUCAGGAGGAACACCGAUGGCGAAGGCAGAUCUCUGGGCCGUAACUGACGCUGAGGAGCGAAAGGGUGGGGAGCAAACAGGCUUAGAUACCCUGGUAGUCCACCCCGUAAACGUUGGGAACUAGUUGUGGGGACCAUUCCACGGUUUCCGUGACGCAGCUAACGCAUUAAGUUCCCCGCCUGGGGAGUACGGCCGCAAGGCUAAAACUCAAAGGAAUUGACGGGGACCCGCACAAGCGGCGGAGCAUGCGGAUUAAUUCGAUGCAACGCGAAGAACCUUACCAAGGCUUGACAUAUACGAGAAUGGGCCAGAAAUGGUCAACUCUUUGGACACUCGUAAACAGGUGGUGCAUGGUUGUCGUCAGCUCGUGUCGUGAGAUGUUGGGUUAAGUCCCGCAACGAGCGCAACCCUCGUUCUAUGUUGCCAGCACGUAAUGGUGGGAACUCAUGGGAUACUGCCGGGGUCAACUCGGAGGAAGGUGGGGAUGACGUCAAAUCAUCAUGCCCCUUAUGUCUUGGGCUUCACGCAUGCUACAAUGGCCGGUACAAAGGGCUGCAAUACCGUAAGGUGGAGCGAAUCCCAAAAAGCCGGUCCCAGUUCGGAUUGAGGUCUGCAACUCGACCUCAUGAAGUCGGAGUCGCUAGUAAUCGCAGAUCAGCAACGCUGCGGUGAAUACGUUCCCGGGUCUUGUACACACCGCCCGUCAAGUCAUGAAAGUCGGUAACACCUGAAGCCGGUGGCCCAACC